Small nucleolar RNA from Fundulus heteroclitus (mummichog), 216 nucleotides. Its record names the gene SNORA73. It matches the Rfam family "Small nucleolar RNA SNORA73 family". Rfam says of the family: U17 (SNORA73A and SNORA73B) also known as E1 belongs to the H/ACA class of small nucleolar RNAs (snoRNAs). Vertebrate U17 is intron-encoded and ranges in length from 200-230 nucleotides, longer than most snoRNAs. It is one of the most abundant snoRNAs in human cells and is essential for the cleavage of pre-rRNA within the 5' external transcribed spacer (ETS). NCBI's taxonomy places the organism in Eukaryota, Metazoa, Chordata, Actinopteri, Cyprinodontiformes, Fundulidae. The record is from Ensembl.
CCGACAUGGACGUCCAGAGAGAAGUUCUCCUGGUUCUGUUCUGGUGGCGUAUGGGAGCGUAGCUUUGGGCCGGGACGUACAUUCCCGUUCCACGGUGUCGGACAGAAAGCUGCGUCCCCGGUUCCGGCCGGCGAGGACGGGCGUCCUGCAUAUUCCUACAACUUCCCAGAGUCCUUUGGGCCGUUACUGGGGAGCUAAACCAUGCAGGAUACACAU